RNAcentral lists this ribosomal RNA (788 nucleotides) under Arthrobacter pascens. RNAcentral's name for it is "bacterial SSU rRNA". It matches the Rfam family "Bacterial small subunit ribosomal RNA", at positions 67 to 856 of the family's 1533-position model. The record is from RNAcentral. Lineage: Bacteria; Bacillati; Actinomycetota; Actinomycetes; Micrococcales; Micrococcaceae.
CGAUGAUCCCCAGCUUGCUUGGGGGAUUAGUGGCGAACGGGUGGGACACGUGAGUAACCUGCCCUUAACUCUGGGAUAAGCCUGGGAAACUGGGUCUAAUACCGGAUAUGACUCCUCAUCGCAUGGUGGGGGGUGGAAAGCUUUUGUGGUUUUGGAUGGACUCGCGGCCUAUCAGCUUGUUGGUGAGGUAAUGGCUCACCAAGGCGACGACGGGUAGCCGGCCUGAGAGGGUGACCGGCCACACUGGGACUGAGACACGGCCCAGACUCCUACGGGAGGCAGCAGUGGGGAAUAUUGCACAAUGGGCGCAAGCCUGAUGCAGCGACGCCGCGUGAGGGAUGACGGCCUUCGGGUUGUAAACCUCUUUCAGUAGGGAAGAAGCGAAAGUGACGGUACCUGCAGAAGAAGCGCCGGCUAACUACGUGCCAGCAGCCGCGGUAAUACGUAGGGCGCAAGCGUUAUCCGGAAUUAUUGGGCGUAAAGAGCUCGUAGGCGGUUUGUCGCGUCUGCCGUGAAAGUCCGGGGCUCAACUCCGGAUCUGCGGUGGGGUACGGGCAGACUAGAGUGAUGUAGGGGGAGACUGGAAUUUCCUGGUGUAGCGGUGAAAUGCGCAGAUAUCAGGAGGAACACCGAUGGCGAAAGGCAGGUCUCUGGGCAUUAACUGACGCUGAAGAACGAAAGCAUGGGGAGCGAAACAGGAAUUAAAUACCCUGGUUAGUUCCAUGGCGUAAACGGUUGGGCAACUAGUGGUGGGGGGAACAUUUCACGGUUUUUCCGCGGCCGGUAGC